RNAcentral lists this ribosomal RNA (393 nucleotides) under uncultured cyanobacterium. RNAcentral describes it as "bacterial SSU rRNA". It matches the Rfam family "Bacterial small subunit ribosomal RNA", at positions 356 to 765 of the family's 1533-position model. The record is from RNAcentral. Lineage: Bacteria; Bacillati; Cyanobacteriota.
GGGGAAUUUUCCGCAAUGGGCGAAAGCCUGACGGAGCAAUACCGCGUGAGGGAGGAAGGCCUUUGGGUUGUAAACCUCUUUUGUCAGGGAAGAACACUGACGGUACCUGACGAAUCAGCCUCGGCUAACUCCGUGCCAGCAGCCGCGGUAAUACGGAGGAGGCAAGCGUUAUCCGGAAUCAUUGGGCGUAAAGCGUCCGUAGGUGGCCAAGUAAGUCUGCUGUCAAAGACCACAGCUUAACUGUGGAAAGGCAGUGGAAACUGCAGGGCUAGAGUGCGGUAGGGGUAGAGGGAAUUCCAGGUGUAGCGGUGAAAUGCGUAGAGCUCUGGAAGAACACCGGUGGCGAAAGCGCUCUACUGGGCCGAAACUGACACUGAGGGACGAAAGCUAGGG